Small nucleolar RNA from Xenopus tropicalis (tropical clawed frog), 136 nucleotides. The record is from Ensembl. NCBI's taxonomy places the organism in Eukaryota, Metazoa, Chordata, Amphibia, Anura, Pipidae.
UGCCUUUGUGUUACCCACUCAUUUGUGAAAGUGAUGAGUGCGGCGUCAAGAAAGGCAAACAGUAUCUCCCUGUAACCAACCUCGAGUUGCCUCUGGCUGUACAUACACCCCCGGCACUGGGAACUUGGAGACACUU